This 429-nucleotide ribosomal RNA is filed under the name Chloroflexota bacterium. RNAcentral describes it as "Chloroflexi bacterium partial 16S ribosomal RNA". It matches the Rfam family "Bacterial small subunit ribosomal RNA", at positions 355 to 776 of the family's 1533-position model. Lineage: Bacteria; Bacillati; Chloroflexota. The record is from RNAcentral.
UGGGGAAUAUUGCACAAUGGGCGCAAGCCUGAUGCAGCCAUGCCGCGUGUAUGAAGAAGGCCUUCGGGUUGUAAAGUACUUUCAGUCGGGAGGAAGGUGGUAAGGUUAAUAACCUUGGCAAUUGACGUUACCCGCAGAAGAAGCACCGGCUAACUCCGUGCCAGCAGCCGCGGUAAUACGGAGGGUGCAAGCGUUAAUCGGAAUUACUGGGCGUAAAGCGCACGCAGGCGGUUUGUUAAGUCAGAUGUGAAAUCCCCGGGCUCAACCUGGGAACUGCAUCUGAGACUGGCAAGCUUGAGUCUCGUAGAGGGGGGUAGAAUUCCAGGUGUAGCGGUGAAAUGCGUAGAGAUCUGGAGGAAUACCGGUGGCGAAGGCGGCCCCCUGGACGAAGACUGACGCUCAGGUGCGAAAGCGUGGGGAGCAAACAGG